GACGAACGCUGGCGGCGUGCUUAACACAUGCAAGUCGAACGGAAAGGCCCUGCUUUUGUGGGGUGCUCGAGUGGCGAACGGGUGAGUAACACGUGAGUAACCUGCCCUUGACUUUGGGAUAACUUCAGGAAACUGGGGCUAAUACCGGAUAGGAGCUCCUGCUGCAUGGUGGGGGUUGGAAAGUUUCGGCGGUUGGGGAUGGACUCGCGGCUUAUCAGCUUGUUGGUGGGGUAGUGGCUUACCAAGGCUUUGAAGGGUAGCCGACCUGCGAGGGGGACCGGCCACAAUGCGACUGAGAUACGGCCCAGACGCCUACGGUAGGCAACAGUGGGGAAUAUUGCACAAUGGGCGGGAGCCUGAUGCAGCAACGCCGCGUGCGGGAAGACGGCCUUCGGGUUGUAAACCGAUUUCGCCUGAGACGAGGCGUGAGUGACGGUAAUGGGUAAAGAAGCACCGGCUAACUACGUG
This 468-nucleotide ribosomal RNA is filed under the name uncultured bacterium. RNAcentral describes it as "partial 16S ribosomal RNA". It matches the Rfam family "Bacterial small subunit ribosomal RNA", at positions 28 to 507 of the family's 1533-position model. The record is from RNAcentral.